Molecule: transfer RNA, 72 nt
Filed under: Ictidomys tridecemlineatus (thirteen-lined ground squirrel)
Lineage: Eukaryota; Metazoa; Chordata; Mammalia; Rodentia; Sciuridae
Description: Spermophilus tridecemlineatus (thirteen-lined ground squirrel) tRNA
Rfam family: tRNA
About the family: Transfer RNA (tRNA) molecules are approximately 80 nucleotides in length. Their secondary structure includes four short double-helical elements and three loops (D, anti-codon, and T loops). Further hydrogen bonds mediate the characteristic L-shaped molecular structure. tRNAs have two regions of fundamental functional importance: the anti-codon, which is responsible for specific mRNA codon recognition, and the 3' end, to which the tRNAs corresponding amino acid is attached (by aminoacyl-tRNA synthetases). tRNAs cope with the degeneracy of the genetic code in two manners: having more than one tRNA (with a specific anti-codon) for a particular amino acid; and 'wobble' base-pairing, i.e. permitting non-standard base-pairing at the 3rd anti-codon position.
Source: Rfam by way of RNAcentral
AGGGGUAUAACUCAGCAGUAGAGCAUUUGCCUAGUAUGUGGGAGGCCCUGGGUUCCAUCCCCAGCACCCCCA